AUACAUUCAAUAUAACAAGCUCACAUAUUAAUUGUCAAUAUAUGUUAUAUUAGGCAUGAUUAUAUUAAUUACCUGUUCAGUAAGCUUGUUUUUUCUUGGAUGGUUCAGGAUCAUUUUCCACUUGAGAAUCUGAUUUCGAAUUAUCUUUAUAUCCCAUUAAAGUAGGUACGGCGAACUUUCCAAUUCUAUUCUUGAUGGUACUUGUGAAGCAAUUUUUCUCAAAGUGAAAUUCACAAACGUACUUCAAUUUCAAUUUCUUCAGAGAUAGAUCUUUUAAAUAGUUUAGUUCCUUUUCUUUAGAGAAUUGACCCAAAGCUUUGACCUAAAAUUAUUGUAUUUCUAAGUCAUUUUACUUAUGAUAUAUUUGAUUUUAAAUUUAAAAUAAUGGUAUCGGAUAAAUUCGUAGAGAACAAAUAUGAUCUGCUUACCUGAUUUCGUUUGGAGGAAAAUGAAAUAAUGAAAUUUUUUCUUUUGGAAAUUCUAUGCCGCAAACAAUACAUUUCGUUAUUCUUUGACGUUUAUUCAUUUUGAUUAAUUAAUUUAAACAACUAAAUCGUGAAAGCACGCGGUUGAAAUUAUGGCCGAUGGCUCUCUACGUUGCCAUUCAUUGUCACAAAAAACGAUUUUAUAUUCUUUAAGUUUAUCAUCAUAACAGUUAUCAUAAAAAUAUUUCUUUUAUUCCAUGAUAAAUUAAUUUAUACAUCAUAAAGCUACUAGAUUGAUGAACUACUUUCGAGGGCGCUGCUAUCAACAAAUGACGCAAAAUUUCCACAAGUUGCGAGAGUUUGGUCUCUGUUCCUUAUACUCUGUGGCUACUAGUAGCAGCAGUGACGAAGAAACGAUAGAAAAUUCGGAAAAUUUAGAAUUUCUACAGGAUUUUAAUAAUCGAAUUAGACGAAAUUGGAUUAAAAGAAGAAAUGACAUGGAUUGUUGUUUCUGCCUCUUCUAUAUUUAGAUAAAGC
This 962-nucleotide long non-coding RNA is filed under the name Androctonus crassicauda. The record is from RNAcentral. Lineage: Eukaryota; Metazoa; Arthropoda; Arachnida; Scorpiones; Buthidae.